CCUACGGGUGGCAGCAGUGGGGGAUAUUGCACAAUGGGGGAAACCCUGAUGCAGCGACGCCGCGUGAGUGAAGAAGUAUUUCGGUAUGUAAAGCUCUAUCAGCAGGGAAGAAAAUGACAGUACCUGACCAAGAAGCCCCGGCUAACUACGUGCCAGCAGCCGCGGUAAUACGGAGGAUGCGAGCGUUAUCCGGAUUUAUUGGGUUUAAAGGGUGCGUAGGCGGGCUGUUAAGUCAGCGGUCAAAUGUCGGGGCUCAACCCCGGCCUGCCGUUGAAACUGGCGGCCUCGAGUGGGCGAGAAGUAUGCGGAAUGCGUGGUGUAGCGGUGAAAUGCAUAGAUAUCACGCAGAACUCCGAUUGCGAAGGCAGCAUACCGGCGCCCGACUGACGCUGAGGCACGAAAGCGUGGGUAUCGAACAGGAUUAGAUACCCUGGUAGUC
RNAcentral lists this ribosomal RNA (439 nucleotides) under uncultured bacterium. RNAcentral describes it as "partial 16S ribosomal RNA". It matches the Rfam family "Bacterial small subunit ribosomal RNA", at positions 338 to 795 of the family's 1533-position model. The record is from RNAcentral.